This 459-nucleotide ribosomal RNA is filed under the name uncultured bacterium. RNAcentral's name for it is "partial 16S ribosomal RNA". It matches the Rfam family "Bacterial small subunit ribosomal RNA", at positions 338 to 795 of the family's 1533-position model. The record is from RNAcentral.
CCUACGGGGAGCUGCAGUGAGGAAUAUUGGUCAAUGGCCGGAAGGCUGAACCAGCCAAGCCGCGUGAAGGACGAAGGUGCCAAGCAUUGUAAACUUCUUUUGUCAAGGGACAAAAUCAGGCUAGAGAGCCUGACCGAGGGUACUUGAAGAAAAAGCAUCGGCUAACUCCGUGCCAGCGGCCGCGGUAAUACGGAGGAGGCGAGCUUGAUCGGGAUUGAUUGGGUUUAACGGGUGCGUAGGCGGACUGUUAAGUCAGCGGUAAAAUCCCGGGGCUCAACCCCGGGGAGCCGUUGAACCGGGCUGUCGUGAGAUGUCGAGAGGUAUGCGGAAUGCGCAGUGUAGCUGUGAACUGCUUAGAUAUUGCGCAGAACUCCGAUUGCGCAGGCAGCAUACCGGCGGCGAUCUGACGCGGAGGCACGAAAGCGUGGGUAUCGAACAGGAUUAGAUACCCCAGUAGUC